UACGUAGGGUGCGAGCGUUGUCCGGAAUUAUUGGGCGUAAAGGGCUCGUAGGCGGUUUGUCGCGUCGGGAGUGAAAACUCGGGGCUUAACCCCGGGCCUGCAGUGGGUACGGGCAGACUAGAGUGCGGUAGGGGAGACUGGAAUUCCUGGUGUAGCGGUGAAAUGCGCAGAUAUCAGGAGGAACACCGGUGGCGAAGGCGGUUCUCUGGGCAUGAUCUGACGCUGAGGAGCGAAAGUGUGGGGAGCGAACAGG
RNAcentral lists this ribosomal RNA (253 nucleotides) under uncultured bacterium. Its description in RNAcentral is "partial 16S ribosomal RNA". It matches the Rfam family "Bacterial small subunit ribosomal RNA", at positions 524 to 776 of the family's 1533-position model. The record is from RNAcentral.